Molecule: ribosomal RNA, 447 nt
Filed under: uncultured bacterium
Lineage: Bacteria
Description: bacterial SSU rRNA
Rfam family: Bacterial small subunit ribosomal RNA
Source: RNAcentral
UAACGAAUCUUCCGCAAUGCACGAAAGUGUGACGGAGCGACGCCGCGUGGAGGACGAAGUUCUUCGGAAUGUAAACUCCUGUCAGGGGAAAGAAAGUUCUGAUCUACCCCAGAGGAAGAGGCGGCUAACUCUGUGCCAGCAGCCGCGGUAAUACAGAGGCCUCGAGCGUUAGACGGAAUCACUGGGCUUAAAGCGUGUGUAGGCGGAAGGGUAAGUACCUUGUGAAAUCCCACGGCUUAACCGUGGAACGGCUUGGUAUACUGCUUUUCUUGAGCAAUCUAGGGGCGAGUGGAACAGAUGGUGGAGCGGUGAAAUGCGUAGAUAUCAUCUGGAACGCCAAUGGUGAAGACAACUCGCUGGGGAUUUGCUGACGCUGAGACACGAAAGCCAGGGGAGCAAACGGGAUUAGAUACCCCCGUAGUCCCUGAGCGGGCUGGCAAGGCGCAU